UACGUAGGGGGCAAGCGUUGUCCGGAUUUAUUGGGCGUAAAGAGCGUGUAGGCGGCUUGUCGCGUCUGCUGUGAAAAUCCGAGGCUCAACCUCGGACUUGCAGUGGGUACGGGCAGGCUAGAGUGUGGUAGGGGAGACUGGAAUUCCUGGUGUAGCGGUGAAAUGCGCAGAUAUCAGGAGGAACACCGGUGGCGAAGGCGGGUCUCUGGGACGGUACUGACGCUGAGACGCGAAAGCGUGGGGAGCGAACAGG
This 253-nucleotide ribosomal RNA is filed under the name uncultured bacterium. Its description in RNAcentral is "partial 16S ribosomal RNA". It matches the Rfam family "Bacterial small subunit ribosomal RNA", at positions 524 to 776 of the family's 1533-position model. The record is from RNAcentral.